CCCCACGCGGUUGGCCCUCCGAGGGCGGACAGCCGUCGCCCCCAUCGGGGUCUGCCCUUCGCCCAAUCGGAUUCGUUUUUACGAAAUAAGCCUCCGGCCUUCUCAUCCAUCGAGGCUGGCGAUUGGUGGAGGCUCAGCCAGCGUGCGCUUUCCCUGUAGCUGUUGUUUUUGAAAAUGUGUUGGACGUGACCGGAGAGCAAGAGUUUGUUCGAGUAUUUGAGGGAUGUGGUUGUCAAUUCAGCCUUUCAGGUCAGAUGGCAGUCUUCAACCAAUUCAGUUCUCUCCAUUUGAUGUCAAAGAAUAGCUGGAGAAAAUGGAUAUUGUAAGGAGUAUGGGGCCUGUCAACAUACUGACAAUAGCAUGGAAGACGCGUACCAUUCUGGUGAGAUGACGGUGGAGUAGGGAUUCUGAGGCCUGGGCUUCUCCGCUUUUGGUGAAGACGUCAAUCGUGGUGAUUGCAUCAGUGGCGAUUCAAGGAGGUGGCGGCACAGGUGAAUUUGGGCCCGGUACAAGACCCAGUGGCUGCAUUGGCGAGGUAGGCCCAAAGAAGACUCAUGAUGGCGAUGAAGUCGAGUUUAGGCGGAACAGUACUGAGCAGCAUCAGUGGCGUGUGCAGUACUGAGAUCCAGCGAAAACUCACAGUAGUGAGGGCAUUGGUGGACACAAGAUGGUGCCAAAGAGUGAUGAAUUUUGUUCCAGCAGUGGCAACGUGGCGAAGGAGACUUGUGCCUGGCCAUCAGGCCCUUGGCCCAUGAUGGAACUCUUAACAAGGAGGACUGGAAAGUUGGAUACUUGCUUCCUCAUUUUUCUGCCUUGAAUAUUCUAUGUUUUGUUUCAUUUUACUGUGUUAUAAGAUGGUGCUGGAGAUGGCGACACUACAGCAUGUUUCACUGUAUUUUUUAACAAGAUACAUGGGACAAUAAAUAAAUCACAUGAAUCCAAAUCAGAAUUUGCUGUAUCCUGACCUAAGCUGGUCUAGUGAUGUUGCAACAGUAGUAGUGUGGGAAAUUGCCCAGGUAUGUUCUGUACACCAAAAGCAGGAGAACUCCAACAUGCCAUUAGUUUACCCUCAAUACAUAAUCAAAAUGAUGGGCAGGACCAUCAAUGGUGCUAUCAAGCAGGAUUUGCUAAGCAAUGACCUGCUCACCUGAAGUUCAAUUUGCAUUUGCCAUUGCCACUCGGCUCCUGAGGUUAUUUCCAGCUUGGUACUACCAUGGACCAAAGAACUGAAUUCCAGAGGUGAAGUGAGAGUGACUACCCUUGAACUGAAGGCACACUCAACCAAGUGUGGCAUCAAAGUCCCUCAAAAAAAAACUAGCGUCAAUGGGCAUGAGGUUGGAGGGCAGGAGAGUUAACCACUGGUUGGAGUCAUACUUGCCAUGUAGGAAGAUGGAUAUGUUUAUUGGAGUCAUUUCAAUCUUUUCAGCUCCAGGACAUCUCUGCAGAAGUUCCUCGGCAGUGUCCUCAUUCAAUCAUCUUCAGCUGAUUUGUCAAUGACCUUCCCUCCAUGUGGUCAGAAGUGGGAAUGCUUGCUGCUGAUUGCGCAAUGUUCAGCACCAUUUGGCACUCCUCAGAUACUGAAGCAGUCUAAAGUUCAAAUGCAGCAAGACUUGGACAGUAUCCAGAUUGGUGUUGACAAGUGGCAAAUGUUGUUUGCUCCAAACAAAUGCCUGGCAAUAACUGUCUCUAACAAGACAAAAUCUAGCAGUUGCCCCUUGACAUUCAUUGGCAUUACUAUCAGUGACUCCUCCACUGUCAAUAUCAUGACCAAAAACUGAUCUGGACUAGUCAUGUCAAAACUGUGGUUACAAGAAUAGGUGAGGAUGGAAACCCUGCAUUGGGUAACUCAUUUGAAUCUCCUGAGUCAGUCCACAAUAGUCAAGACAGAAGUUGGAGUUUUGGUUGAAUACUCCCCACUCGCUUGAAUGUUGUUGGAACUGCACUCAGUCAAAAAGCUCAACAAAGCUGCCUGCUUGAGAUAUAAUAUAUCCACGAAUCUUCACUCCCCCCACCACUGACACAGCUGCAAUAUGUAUCAUCUACAAGACCCUUUCAUUCAAUAUCUCUCCAAUAAAAUAUUGUAGCUAGCAAGGUGUUUAUGCCUAACCUUAACAAUGACUAAUCCUAUCAAAUUCUGCAAGGAUGUUAUUGCCUAAAUCUUAAAAUAUUUGAAGGAUAAAAAUGUCAAGUAUUUUACAUUGUCCCAUUACCUGACAAGGCAUGUCUUUACACCUUUUGUAAAUAAA
Molecule: long non-coding RNA, 2246 nt
Organism: Stegostoma tigrinum
Lineage: Eukaryota; Metazoa; Chordata; Chondrichthyes; Orectolobiformes; Stegostomatidae
Exons: 3
Source: RefSeq, a predicted model, not a curated record